Molecule: ribosomal RNA, 2903 nt
Filed under: Enterobacter roggenkampii MGH 34
Lineage: Bacteria; Pseudomonadati; Pseudomonadota; Gammaproteobacteria; Enterobacterales; Enterobacteriaceae
Description: bacterial LSU rRNA
Rfam family: Bacterial large subunit ribosomal RNA
Source: RNAcentral
UUAAGCGACUAAGCGUACACGGUGGAUGCCCUGGCAGUCAGAGGCGAUGAAGGACGUGCUAAUCUGCGAAAAGCGCCGGCGAGGUGAUAUGAACCUUUGACCCGGCGAUGUCCGAAUGGGGAAACCCAGUGUGAUUCGUCACACUAUCGUUAACUGAAUACAUAGGUUAACGAGGCGAACCGGGGGAACUGAAACAUCUAAGUACCCCGAGGAAAAGAAAUCAACCGAGAUUCCCCCAGUAGCGGCGAGCGAACGGGGAGCAGCCCAGAGUCUGAAUCAGCUUGUGUGUUAGUGGAAGCGUCUGGAAAGUCGCACGGUACAGGGUGACAGUCCCGUACACGAAAAUGCACAGGUUGUGAACUCGAAGAGUAGGGCGGGACACGUGGUAUCCUGUCUGAAUAUGGGGGGACCAUCCUCCAAGGCUAAAUACUCCUGACUGACCGAUAGUGAACCAGUACCGUGAGGGAAAGGCGAAAAGAACCCCGGCGAGGGGAGUGAAAAAGAACCUGAAACCGUGUACGUACAAGCAGUGGGAGCACCUUCGGGUGUGACUGCGUACCUUUUGUAUAAUGGGUCAGCGACUUAUAUUCUGUAGCAAGGUUAACCGUAUAGGGGAGCCGAAGGGAAACCGAGUCUUAACUGGGCGUUAAGUUGCAGGGUAUAGACCCGAAACCCGGUGAUCUAGCCAUGGGCAGGUUGAAGGUUGGGUAACACUAACUGGAGGACCGAAUCGACUAAUGUUGAAAAAUUAGCGGAUGACUUGUGGCUGGGGGUGAAAGGCCAAUCAAACCGGGAGAUAGCUGGUUCUCCCCGAAAGCUAUUUAGGUAGCGCCUCGUGAACUCAUCUUCGGGGGUAGAGCACUGUUUCGGCUAGGGGGCCAUCCCGGCUUACCAACCCGAUGCAAACUACGAAUACCGAAGAAUGUUAUCACGGGAGACACACGGCGGGUGCUAACGUCCGUCGUGAAGAGGGAAACAACCCAGACCGCCAGCUAAGGUCCCAAAGUCAUGGUUAAGUGGGAAACGAUGUGGGAAGGCACAGACAGCCAGGAUGUUGGCUUAGAAGCAGCCAUCAUUUAAAGAAAGCGUAAUAGCUCACUGGUCGAGUCGGCCUGCGCGGAAGAUGUAACGGGGCUAAACCAUGCACCGAAGCUGCGGCAGCGACGCUUAUGCGUUGUUGGGUAGGGGAGCGUUCUGUAAGCCGUUGAAGGUGUGCUGUGAGGCAUGCUGGAGGUAUCAGAAGUGCGAAUGCUGACAUAAGUAACGAUAAAGCGGGUGAAAAGCCCGCUCGCCGGAAGACCAAGGGUUCCUGUCCAACGUUAAUCGGGGCAGGGUGAGUCGACCCCUAAGGCGAGGCCGAAAGGCGUAGUCGAUGGGAAACAGGUUAAUAUUCCUGUACUUGGUGUUACUGCGAAGGGGGGACGGAGAAGGCUAUGUUAGCCGGGCGACGGUUGUCCCGGUUUAAGCAUGUAGGCGGAGGUUCCAGGUAAAUCCGGUACCUUAUUAACGCUGAGGUGUGAUGACGAGGCACUACGGUGCUGAAGUAACAAAUGCCCUGCUUCCAGGAAAAGCCUCUAAGCAUCAGGUAACAUCAAAUCGUACCCCAAACCGACACAGGUGGUCAGGUAGAGAAUACCAAGGCGCUUGAGAGAACUCGGGUGAAGGAACUAGGCAAAAUGGUGCCGUAACUUCGGGAGAAGGCACGCUGAUAUGUAGGUGAAGCCCCUGCGGGUGGAGCUGAAAUCAGUCGAAGAUACCAGCUGGCUGCAACUGUUUAUUAAAAACACAGCACUGUGCAAACACGAAAGUGGACGUAUACGGUGUGACGCCUGCCCGGUGCCGGAAGGUUAAUUGAUGGGGUUAGCGGCAACGCGAAGCUCUUGAUCGAAGCCCCGGUAAACGGCGGCCGUAACUAUAACGGUCCUAAGGUAGCGAAAUUCCUUGUCGGGUAAGUUCCGACCUGCACGAAUGGCGUAAUGAUGGCCAGGCUGUCUCCACCCGAGACUCAGUGAAAUUGAACUCGCUGUGAAGAUGCAGUGUACCCGCGGCAAGACGGAAAGACCCCGUGAACCUUUACUAUAGCUUGACACUGAACACUGGUCCUUGAUGUGUAGGAUAGGUGGGAGGCUUUGAAGUGUGGACGCCAGUCUGCAUGGAGCCGUCCUUGAAAUACCACCCUUUAAUGGCUGGUGUUCUAACGUAGACCCGUAAUCCGGGUUGCGGACAGUGUCUGGUGGGUAGUUUGACUGGGGCGGUCUCCUCCCAAAGAGUAACGGAGGAGCACGAAGGUUAGCUAAUCCUGGUCGGACAUCAGGAGGUUAGUGCAAUGGCAUAAGCUAGCUUGACUGCGAGAGUGACGGCUCGAGCAGGUGCGAAAGCAGGUCAUAGUGAUCCGGUGGUUCUGAAUGGAAGGGCCAUCGCUCAACGGAUAAAAGGUACUCCGGGGAUAACAGGCUGAUACCGCCCAAGAGUUCAUAUCGACGGCGGUGUUUGGCACCUCGAUGUCGGCUCAUCACAUCCUGGGGCUGAAGUAGGUCCCAAGGGUAUGGCUGUUCGCCAUUUAAAGUGGUACGCGAGCUGGGUUUAGAACGUCGUGAGACAGUUCGGUCCCUAUCUGCCGUGGGCGCUGGAGAAUUGAGGGGGGCUGCUCCUAGUACGAGAGGACCGGAGUGGACGCAUCACUGGUGUUCGGGUUGUCAUGCCAAUGGCACUGCCCGGUAGCUAAAUGCGGAAAAGAUAAGUGCUGAAAGCAUCUAAGCACGAAACUUGCCCCGAGAUGAGUUCUCCCUGAGACUUUAAGUCUCCUGAAGGAACGUUGAAGACGACGACGUUGAUAGGUCGGGUGUGUAAGCGCAGCGAUGCGUUGAGCUAACCGAUACUAAUGAACCGUGAGGCUUAACCUU